CUUUCUUUCUUUCUUUCUUUCCAUAUUUUGGUGCCCCAUCCAUCCCAUCUUUCAACUUUGGUCUUUUUGGCGCAGUUAAUGCAUCCUAAACCAUACAUAUCCCAUGGAGUUUGAUUGCUUGCUUUUAGAGGAUACCUAGAUGCUCCAUGAUGUUUCACUUUCAUAUUCAGAAAUAUUUCAUUUGCUAACUUUUUUAUUUAUUUUAAAUAUUAAUAAUAAUGAUUGAAAUUAUGACUACAACACAAUUCUGU
RNAcentral lists this long non-coding RNA (251 nucleotides) under Gossypium raimondii (Peruvian cotton). RNAcentral describes it as "long non-coding RNA (GRAI_LNC007755)". The record is from RNAcentral. Lineage: Eukaryota; Viridiplantae; Streptophyta; Magnoliopsida; Malvales; Malvaceae.